AGGGUAGCUCAGCCGGUAGAGCAGCUGAUUCGUAAUCAGCAGGUCGGGAGUUCGAAUCUCCUCCC
RNAcentral lists this transfer RNA (65 nucleotides) under marine eukaryotic metagenome. It matches the Rfam family "tRNA", at positions 5 to 66 of the family's 71-position model. Rfam says of the family: Transfer RNA (tRNA) molecules are approximately 80 nucleotides in length. Their secondary structure includes four short double-helical elements and three loops (D, anti-codon, and T loops). Further hydrogen bonds mediate the characteristic L-shaped molecular structure. tRNAs have two regions of fundamental functional importance: the anti-codon, which is responsible for specific mRNA codon recognition, and the 3' end, to which the tRNAs corresponding amino acid is attached (by aminoacyl-tRNA synthetases). tRNAs cope with the degeneracy of the genetic code in two manners: having more than one tRNA (with a specific anti-codon) for a particular amino acid; and 'wobble' base-pairing, i.e. permitting non-standard base-pairing at the 3rd anti-codon position. The record is from RNAcentral.